This 445-nucleotide ribosomal RNA is filed under the name uncultured bacterium. RNAcentral's name for it is "partial 16S ribosomal RNA". It matches the Rfam family "Bacterial small subunit ribosomal RNA", at positions 354 to 796 of the family's 1533-position model. The record is from RNAcentral.
GUGAGGAAUAUUGGUCAAUGGGCGGGAGCCUGAACCAGCCAAGUCGCGUGAAGGAAGAAGGAUCUAUGGUUCGUAAACUUCUUUUGCAGGGGAAUAAAGUGCAGGACGUGUCCUGUUUUGUAUGUACCCUGAGAAUAAGGAUCGGCUAACUCCGUGCCAGCAGCCGCGGUAAUACGGAGGAUCCGAGCGUUAUCCGGAUUUAUUGGGUUUAAAGGGUGCGUAGGUGGUUUGAUAAGUCAGCGGUGAAAGUUUGCAGCUUAACUGUAAAAAUGCCGUUGAAACUGUCGGACUUGAGUGUAAAUGAGGUAGGCGGAAUGCGUGGUGGAGCGGUGAAAUGCAUAGAUAUCACGCAGAACUCCGAUUGCGAAGGCAGCUUACUAAGCUACAACUGACACUGAAGCACGAAAGCGUGGGGAUCAAACAGGAUUAGAAACCCUAGUAGUCC